Long non-coding RNA from Arachis stenosperma, 610 nucleotides. RefSeq lists it as uncharacterized. The record is from RefSeq and is a predicted model, not a curated record. The transcript has 2 exons. NCBI's taxonomy places the organism in Eukaryota, Viridiplantae, Streptophyta, Magnoliopsida, Fabales, Fabaceae.
UACAUACAUACAUAGACACAUCAGUUAAUUAGUUAUCGAAAAUGAACAAGUCAAUAUUGUUGGUGGUGGUUUUGAGUUUGGUGAUAGGGGUGACAAUGGCUGAGCUUGAAAGCGAGAAGCAAUACGGGCCGUGCGGGAAGUUCAGCACACAGAGGAUACUCACUCAUAAGCUCAGGCACUGCGAGAAACCAGCAAGAAACUUGUACGCACCCGUCUCUAGGCAGUGUUGCCAGGACCUUCAAAACGUCUCCUUCCAAUGCCUCGUUACCGUCUUCAGUUCCGACGCCUUCACCAAAAUCGGUGUCGACCCACACGUCGCCAUGACCAUCCCCUCUCGCUGCCACCACGCCUAUCAUGACAACCCCUAAACCCUGCAGCAUAUGAUCACAUACCUUGAAGGCUAAGAGUGUGAGCUAUGUAUGGCGCCUGAAGUUAUGCCAUAUGGUCAAGUUCAAGUUACAAUAAUAGUUGUUCUUCUAUCUUUAAUAUAUAAUAAAUUGAGCUCGCUAUGUAUAUAUAGCAGCUCACACAUGUAUGUUCAAUUGUAAUAAACUAUAACGUAAUAAAUAAAUAGCUUUCGGCUUUCUUAGCCUUUCAAGUAAUUAUAUAA